RNAcentral lists this transfer RNA (65 nucleotides) under Octostigma sinensis. RNAcentral's name for it is "tRNA-Phe". Lineage: Eukaryota; Metazoa; Arthropoda; Diplura; Rhabdura; Octostigmatidae. The record is from RNAcentral.
GUUUGUAAAGUUUAUUGUGAAUGUAGUAUUGAAGAUACUGAGGAGAAGUAUGAGUUCUGCGAACA